UACGGAGGGUGCAAGCGUUGUCCGGAAUUACUGGGCGUAAAGCGCGCGUAGGCGGAUCAUCAAGUCGGGGGUGAAAUCCCGGGGCUCAACCCCGGAAUGGCCUUCGAGACUGGUGGUCUUGAGUUCGAGAGAGGUGAGUGGAAUUCCGAGUGUAGAGGUGAAAUUCGUAGAUAUUCGGAGGAACACCAGUGGCGAAGGCGGCUCACUGGCUCGACACUGACGCUGAGGUGCGAAAGCGUGGGGAGCAAACAGG
Molecule: ribosomal RNA, 253 nt
Filed under: uncultured bacterium
Lineage: Bacteria
Description: partial 16S ribosomal RNA
Rfam family: Bacterial small subunit ribosomal RNA
Source: RNAcentral